RNAcentral lists this transfer RNA (73 nucleotides) under Planctomycetota bacterium. RNAcentral describes it as "Planctomycetes bacterium (activated sludge metagenome) tRNA-Phe". It matches the Rfam family "tRNA". Rfam says of the family: Transfer RNA (tRNA) molecules are approximately 80 nucleotides in length. Their secondary structure includes four short double-helical elements and three loops (D, anti-codon, and T loops). Further hydrogen bonds mediate the characteristic L-shaped molecular structure. tRNAs have two regions of fundamental functional importance: the anti-codon, which is responsible for specific mRNA codon recognition, and the 3' end, to which the tRNAs corresponding amino acid is attached (by aminoacyl-tRNA synthetases). tRNAs cope with the degeneracy of the genetic code in two manners: having more than one tRNA (with a specific anti-codon) for a particular amino acid; and 'wobble' base-pairing, i.e. permitting non-standard base-pairing at the 3rd anti-codon position. The record is from RNAcentral. Lineage: Bacteria; Pseudomonadati; Planctomycetota.
GGGUACCUAGCUCAAUUGGUAGAGCACCGCAUUGAAAAUGCGGGUGUUCCCGGUUCAAGUCCGGGGGUGCCCA